This 658-nucleotide ribosomal RNA is filed under the name uncultured bacterium. RNAcentral's name for it is "bacterial SSU rRNA". It matches the Rfam family "Bacterial small subunit ribosomal RNA", at positions 187 to 848 of the family's 1533-position model. The record is from RNAcentral.
GCAUGUUCACAUGAUUAAAGGUAUUCCGGUAGACGAUGGGGAUGCGUUCCAUUAGAUAGUAGGCGGGGUAACGGCCCACCUAGUCUUCGAUGGAUAGGGGUUCUGAGAGGAAGGUCCCCCACAUUGGAACUGAGACACGGUCCAAACUCCUACGGGAGGCAGCAGUGAGGAAUAUUGGUCAAUGGGCGAGAGCCUGAACCAGCCAAGUAGCGUGAAGGAUGACUGCCCUAUGGGUUGUAAACUUCUUUUAUAAAGGAAUAAAGUCGGGUAUGCAUACCUGUUUGCAUGUACUUUAUGAAUAAGGAUCGGCUAACUCCGUGCCAGCAGCCGCGGUAAUACGGAGGAUCCGAGCGUUAUCCGGAUUUAUUGGGUUUAAAGGGAGCGUAGAUGGAUGUUUAAGUCAGUUGUGAAAGUUUGCGGCUCAACCGUAAAAUUGCAGUUGAUACUGGAUAUCUUGAGUGCAGUUGAGGCAGGCGGAAUUCGUGGUGUAGCGGUGAAAUGCUUAGAUAUCACGAAGAACUCCGAUUGCGAAGGCAGCCUGCUAAGCUGCAACUGACAUUGAGGCCCGAAAGUGUGGGUAUCAAACAGGAUUAGAUACCCUGGUAGUCCACACGGUAAACGAUGAAUACUCGCUGUUUGCGAUAUACAGCAAGCGGCC